CAAGGUGUUUUUGAUGCUUUCUUAACGCCGUUAACCUCGAUGCACUUUUUCGCUCGAAACAAAACGGCAAGAAAAUCAUGCGCGCCCCACGGCCUUACACUUGGAUUGGCCGCGAAAAGGAUAUAUAGAAACGAGAGUGAUGUACUGUCGGGUGCGAUCAUACCAGCACUAAUGCACCGGAUCCCAUCAGAACUCCGCAGUUAAGCGUGCUUGGGCGAGAGUAGUACUAGGAUGGGUGACCUCCCGGGAAGUCCUCGUGUUGCACCCCUUUUAUUUUACCAGCACUUAAUUUUUUUUAGCCUAAAACGAGUCUAAACUUGAAAACCCCAUAACUUUUGAACCGUGAGGAACUACGUCGCCCAUAGCACCAUUUCGGAAAGCCCCAGAAACCAUAAUGGCGGUGAAUAGGGGGCGCAAUUUUUCGGGCUCAAAUUCAGCCGUUUUGACCCUCAAACGGGCUGCGGAAAGUUAUGGCACGUAAAAAAGAUCGAAAGCGGAUUCUCAAGGUGUUUUUGAUGCUUUCUUAACGCCGUUAACCUCGAUGCACUUUUUCGCUCGAAACAAAACGGCAAAAAAAUCAUGUGGGCCCCACGGCCUUACACUUGGAUUGGCCGCGAAAAGGAUAUAUAGAAACGAGAGUGAUGUACUGACGGGUGCGAUCAUACCAGCACUAAUGCACCGGAUCCCAUCAGAACUCCGCAGUGAAGCGUGCUUGGGCGAGAGUAGUACUAGGAUGGGUGACCUCCCGGGAAGUCCUCGUGUUGCACCCCUUUUUAUUUUAUAAUUUUUUUUUAGCCUAAAACGAGUCUAAACUUGAAAACCUCAUAACUUUUGAACCGUGAGGAACUACGUCGCCCAUAGCACCAUUUCGGAAAGCCCCAGAAACCAUAAUGGGCGGUGAAUAGGGGGCGCAAUUUUUCGGGCUCAAAUUCAGCCGUUUUGACCCUCAAACGGGCUGCGGAAAGUUAUGGCACGUAAAAAAGAUCGAAAGCGGAUUCUCAAGGUGUUUUUGAUGCUUUCUUAACGCCGUUAACCUCGAUGCACUUUUUCGCUCGAAACAAAACGGCAAGAAAAUCAUGUGGGCCCCACGGCCUUACACUUGGAUUGGCCGCGAAAAGGAUAUAUAGAAACGAGAGUGAUGUACUGACGGGUGCGAUCAUACCAGCACUAAUGCACCGGAUCCCAUCAGAACUCCGCAGCUAAGCGUGCUUGGGCGAGAGUAGUACUAGGAUGGGUGACCUCCCGGGAAGUCCUCGUGUUGCACCCCUUUUAUUUUUUAAUUUUUUUUAGCCUAAAACGAGUCUAAACUUGAAAACCCCAUAACUUUUGAACCGUGAGAAACUACGUCGCCCAUAGCACCAUUUCGGAAAGCCCCAGAAACCAUAAUGGGCGGUGAAUAGGGGGCGCAAUUUUUCGGGCUCAAAUUCAGCCGUUUUGACCCUCAAACGGGCUGCGGAAAGUUAUGGCACGUAAAAAAGAUCGAAAGCGGAUUCUCAAGGUGUUUUGAUGCUUUCUUAACGCCGUUAACCUCGAUGCACUUUUUCGCUCGAAACAAAACGGCAAGAAAAUCAUGCGCGGCCCCACGGCCUUACACUUGGAUUGGCCGCGAAAAGGAUAUAUAGAAACGAGAGUGAUGUACUGACGGGUGCGAUCAUACCAGCACUAAUGCACCGGAUCCCAUCAGAACUCCGCAGUUAAGCGUGCUUGGGCGAGAGUAGUACUAGGAUGGGUGACCUCCCGGGAAGUCCUCGUGUUGCACCCCUUUUUAUUUUUAAUUUUUUUUUAGCCUAAAACGAGUCUAAACUUGAAAACCUCAUAACUUUUGAACCGUGAGGAACUACGUCGCCCAUAGCACCAUUUCGGAAAGCCCCAGAAACCAUAAUGGGCGGUGAAUAGGGGGCGCAAUUUUUCGGGCUCAAAUUCAGCCGUUUUGACCCUCAAACGGGCUGCGGAAAGUUAUGGCACGUAAAAAAGAUCGAAAGCGGAUUCUCAAGGUGUUUUUGAUGCUUUCUUAACGCCGUUAACCUCGAUGCACUUUUUCGCUCGAAACAAAACGGCAAGAAAAUCAUGCGCGCCCCACGGCCUUACACUUGGAUUGGCCGCGAAAAGGAUAUAUAGAAACGAGAGUGAUGUACUGACGGGUGCGAUCAUACCAGCACUAAUGCACCGGAUCCCAUCAGAACUCCGCAGUUAAGCGUGCUUGGGCGAGAGUAGUACUAGGAUGGGUGACCUCCCGGGAAGUCCUCGUGUUGCACCCCUUUUAUUUUUAAUUUUUUUUUAGCCUAAAACGAGUCUAAACUUGAAAACCUCAUAACUUUUGAACCGUGAGGAACUACGUCGCCCAUAGCACCAUUUCGGAAAGCCCCAGAAACCAUAAUGGGCGGUGAAUAGGGGGCGCAAUUUUUCGGGCUCAAAUUCAGCCGUUUUGACCCUCAAACGGGCUGCGGAAAGUUAUGGCACGUAAAAAAGAUCGAAAGCGGAUUCUCAAGGUGUUUUUGAUGCUUUCUUAACGCCGUUAACCUCGAUGCACUUUUUCGCUCGAAACAAAACGGCAAGAAAAUCAUGUGCGGCCCACGGCCUUACACUUGGAUUGGCCGCGAAAAGGAUAUAUAGAAACGAGAGUGAUGUACUGACGGGUGCGAUCAUACCAGCACUAAUGCACCGGAUCCCAUCAGAACUCCGCAGUGAAGCGUGCUUGGGCGAGAGUAGUACUAGGAUGGGUGACCUCCCGGGAAGUCCUCGUGUUGCACCCCUUUUUAUUUUUAUUUUUUUUUUAGCCUAAAACGAGUCUAAACUUGAAAACCUCAUAACUUUUGAACCGUGAGGAACUACGUCGCCCAUAGCACCAUUUCGGAAAGCCCCAGAAACCAUAAUGGGCGGUGAAUAGGGGGCGCAAUUUUUCGGGCUCAAAUUCAGCCGUUUUGACCCUCAAACGGGCUGCGGAAAGUUAUGGCACGUAAAAAAGAUCGAAAGCGGAUUCUCAAGGUGUUUUUGAUGCUUUCUUAACGCCGUUAACCUCGAUGCACUUUUUCGCUCGAAACAAAACGGCAAGAAAAUCAUGUGGGCCCCACGGCCUUACACUUGGAUUGGCCGGGGAAAGGAUAUAUAGAAACGAGAGUGAUGUACUGACGGGUGCGAUCAUACCAGCACUAAUGCACCGGAUCCCAUCAGAACUCCGCAGUGAAGCGUGCUUGGGCGAGAGUAGUACUAGGAUGGGUGACCUCCCGGGAAGUCCUCGUGUUGCACCCCUUUUUAUUUUAUAAUUUUUUUUUAGCCUAAAACGAGUCUAAACUUGAAAACCUCAUAACUUUUGAACCGUGAGGAACUACGUCGCCCAUAGCACCAUUGAGAAAGCCCCAGAAACCAUAAUGGGCGGUGAAUAGGGGGCGCAAUUUUUCGGGCUCAAAUUCAGCCGUUUUGACCCUCAAACGGGCUGCGGAAAGUUAUGGCACGUAAAAAAGAUCGAAAGCGGAUUCUCAAGGUGUUUUUGAUGCUUUCUUAACGCCGUUAACCUCGAUGCACUUUUUCGCUCGAAACAAAACGGCAAGAAAAUCAUGCGCGCCCCACGGCCUUACACUUGGAUUGGCCGCGAAAAGGAUAUAUAGAAACGAGAGUGAUGUACUGACGGGUGCGAUCAUACCAGCACUAAUGCACCGGAUCCCAUCAGAACUCCGCAGUUAAGCGUGCUUGGGCGAGAGUAGUAGUACUAGGAUGGGUGACCUCCCGGGAAGUCCUCGUGUUGCACCCCUUUUUAUUUUUUAAUUUUUUUUUAGCCUAAAACGAGUCUAAACUUGAAAACCUCAUAACUUUUGAACCGUGAGGAACUACGUCGCCCAUAGCACCAUUUCGGAAAGCCCCAGAAACCAUAAUGGGCGGUGAAUAGGGGGCGCAAUUUUUCGGGCUCAAAUUCAGCCGUUUUGACCCUCAAACGGGCUGCGGAAAGUUAUGGCACGUAAAAAAGAUCGAAAGCGGAUUCUCAAGGUGUUUUUGAUGCUUUCUUAACGCCGUUAACCUCGAUGCACUUUUUCGCUCGAAACAAAACGGCAAGAAAAUCAUGCGCGCCCACGGCCUUACACUUGGAUUGGCCGCGAAAAGGAUAUAUAGAAACGAGAGUGAUGUACUGACGGGUGCGAUCAUACCAGCACUAAUGCACCGGAUCCCAUCAGAACUCCGCAGCUAAGCGUGCUUGGGCGAGAGUAGUACUAGGAUGGGUGACCUCCCGGGAAGUCCUCGUGUUGCACCCCUUUUAUUUUUUAAUUUUUUUUUAGCCUAAAACGAGUCUAAACUUGAAAACCCCAUAACUUUUGAACCGUGAGGAACUACGUCGCCCAUAGCACCAUUUCGGAAAGCCCCAGAAACCAUAAUGGGCGGUGAAUAGGGGGCGCAAUUUUUCGGGCUCAAAUUCAGCCGUUUUGACCCUCAAACGGGCUGCGGAAAGUUAUGGCACGUAAAAAAGAUCGAAAGCGGAUUCUCAAGGUGUUUUUGAUGCUUUCUUAACGCCGUUAACCUCGAUGCACUUUUUCGCUCGAAACAAAACGGCAAGAAAAUCAUGCGCGCCCCACGGCCUUACACUUGGAUUGGCCGCGAAAAGGAUAUAUAGAAACGAGAGUGAUGUACUGACGGGUGCGAUCAUACCAGCACUAAUGCACCGGAUCCCAUCAGAACUCCGCAGUUAAGCGUGCUUGGGCGAGAGUAGUACUAGGAUGGGUGACCUCCCGGGAAGUCCUCGUGUUGCACCCCUUUUUAUUUUUUAAUUUUUUUUUAGCCUAAAACGAGUCUAAACUUGAAAACCUCAUAACUUUUGAACCGUGAGGAACUACGUCGCCCAUAGCACCAUUUCGGAGAGCCCCAGAAACCAUAAUGGGCGGUGAAUAGGGGGGGCGCAAUUUUUCGGGCUCAAAUUCAGCCGUUUUGACCCUCAAACGGGCUGCGGAAAGUUAUGGCACGUAAAAAAGAUCGAAAGCGGAUUCUCAAGGUGUUUUUGAUGCUUUCUUAACGCCGUUAACCUCGAUGCACUUUUUCGCUCGAAACAAAACGGCAAGAAAAUCAUGCGCGCCCCACGGCCUUACACUUGGAUUGGCCGCGAAAAGGAUAUAUAGAAACGAGAGUGAUGUACUGACGGGUGCGAUCAUACCAGCACUAAUGCACCGGAUCCCAUCAGAACUCCGCAGUUAAGCGUGCUUGGGCGAGAGUAGUACUAGGAUGGGUGACCUCCCGGGAAGUCCUCGUGUUGCACCCCUUUUUAUUUUUAAUUUUUUUUUAGCCUAAAACGAGUCUAAACUUGAAAACCUCAUAACUUUUGAACCGUGAGGAACUACGUCGCCCAUAGCACCAUUUCGGAGAGCCCCAGAAACCAUAAUGGGCGGUGAAUAGGGGGCGCAAUUUUUCGGGCUCAAAUUCAGCCGUUUUGACCCUCAAACGGGCUGCGGAAAGUUAUGGCACGUAAAAAAGAUCGAAAGCGGAUUCUCAAGGUGUUUUUGAUGCUUUCUUAACGCCGUUAACCUCGAUGCACUUUUUCGCUCGAAACAAAACGGCAAGAAAAUCAUGCGCGCCCCACGGCCUUACACUUGGAUUGGCCGCGAAAAGGAUAUAUAGAAACGAGAGUGAUGUACUGACGGGUGCGAUCAUACCAGCACUAAUGCACCGGAUCCCAUCAGAACUCCGCAGUUAAGCGUGCUUGGGCGAGAGUAGUACUAGGAUGGGUGACCUCCCGGGAAGUCCUCGUGUUGCACCCCUUUUUAUUUUUUAAUUUUUUUUAGCCUAAAACGAGUCUAAACUUGAAAACCUCAUAACUUUUGAACCGUGAGGAACUACGUCGCCCAUAGCACCAUUUCGGAGAGCCCCAG
RNAcentral lists this long non-coding RNA (5846 nucleotides) under Brassica rapa (field mustard). The record is from RNAcentral. Lineage: Eukaryota; Viridiplantae; Streptophyta; Magnoliopsida; Brassicales; Brassicaceae.